UCUCCGUUGGUGAACCAGCGGAGGGAACAUUAUCGAGUUUAUAACUCCCAAACCCUAUGUGAACUUACCACUUGUUGCUUCGGCGCGCGCUUCGGCGCCGCCGAGGACACUUAAACUCUUUGUUUUUAUAAGCAUUUCUGAGUGGCCGAAAGGCAAAAUACAAAUGAAUCAAAACUUUCAACAACGGAUCUCUUGGUUCUGGCAUCGAUGAAGAAAGCAGC
Molecule: unclassified non-coding RNA, 221 nt
Filed under: plant metagenome
Description: partial contains small subunit ribosomal RNA, internal transcribed spacer 1, and 5.8S ribosomal RNA
Rfam family: 5.8S ribosomal RNA (bases 173-221)
Source: RNAcentral